AGGAUCAAUACCAGGACAACAAGAACGACAACGAUUCCGGAGGAACAUGGGUAGUGGCGUGGGAUAAGCCCUACUCACAACCGAGCGGCCCGCGCAGGGGGGAGACCAUUGACCCCAGGGCCGGAGUUGCCCCUGACGGCCGUAAUGACUGCUCGCUCUGACGUGGCGUGAGGCGAGAGAGCCCGGCGCCCAAGACCCAUCCCCUCCGCACCCAGUCACACCCGCCGGGGGGUUGAAACGCUCGUUCCCCGGAGGAAUGUUAAGAACCACACCCUCUCCGCGUACACCUCCCUGUUGCUUCCCCGGGGGAUUCCCCCGGGGGAGGCCCCCGAGCGAGCCGAGCCGCCCAACCAACCGCAGGCGCCUCCGUCUGAUGGCCCGAGGGGCCAAGGAAGCAGGAGCGAGCGAAGAAACGAAAAGGAAAACUUUCAACAACGGAUCUCUUGGUUCCCGCAUCGAUGAAGAACGCAGCGAAAUGCGAUAAGUAAUGUGAAUUGCAGAAUUCAGUGAAUCAUCGAAUCUUUGAACGCACAUUGCACCCCCUGGCAUUCCGGGGGGCAUGCCUGUUCGAGCGUCUCUGGGACGAACACUCGCGCGAGUGAACGCGUGGUCGUGGCGACGGUGGCGUGCCCGAGGGGGCGGCCACCGCGCUGGAAUCAAAUGGUGGAUGCCCGCCGCGUGGCCGAGCGUGAUAUGACGAGCUGGCGCUCGCGCGCGGCGAGGCUGCCGGCCCUUCCCCUGUCCGUCCGGGCGGGGUGUUUUGGGAGCAAUGACAUGGGAACUCCUCGAAUCAGGCAGGGAUACCCGCUGAACUUAAGCAUAUCAAUAAGCGGAGGAAAAGAAACCAACAGGGAUUGCCCCAGUAACGGCGAGUGAAGCGGCAGAAGCUCAAAUUUGAAAUCUGGGGUCCCCGACCCCCGAGUUGUAAUUUGGAGAGGCAUCUUCGGGGGGGAGCGCCGGCCCAGGUUCCUUGGAACAGGACGUCGCAGAGGGUGAGAAUCCCGUGCCAGGCCGGCAGCCUCCUCCCGGGUGAAGGGCCUUCGACGAGUCGAGUUGUUUGGGAAUGCAGCUCCAAGUGGGUGGUAAAUUUCAUCUAAAGCUAAAUACCGGCGGGAGACUGAUAGCGCACAAGUAGAGUGAUCGAAAGAUGAAAAGCACUUUGAAAAUAGAGUCAAAAAGUACGUGAAAUUGUUGAAAGGGAAGCGCUUGAGACCAGACUCGGUCCCGGGCAAACACCGCACCCCCAGGGGCCAUGCAAUUGCCUGGGGCUGGGCCAGCAUCAGUUGGCGUGGCAGGACAAAGGCGCGGGGAAUGUGGCUCCCCUCGGGGAGUGUUAUCAGGCCCGCGCUCAACGCCGCCGACGCCGACUG
Molecule: ribosomal RNA, 1370 nt
Filed under: uncultured Helvella
Lineage: Eukaryota; Fungi; Ascomycota; Pezizomycetes; Pezizales; Helvellaceae
Description: eukaryotic LSU rRNA
Rfam family: Eukaryotic large subunit ribosomal RNA (bases 781-1370)
Source: RNAcentral